Molecule: ribosomal RNA, 495 nt
Filed under: uncultured bacterium
Lineage: Bacteria
Description: partial 16S ribosomal RNA
Rfam family: Bacterial small subunit ribosomal RNA
Source: RNAcentral
ACUCAAAUGAAUAGACGGGGGCCCGCACAAGCGGUGGAGCAUGUGGUUUAAUUCGACGCAACGCGAAGAACCUUACCGGGGCUUGACAUCUGGGGAAAUCCUACGAAAGUAGGCUUCCGGGAAACCGGACUCCAAGACAGGUGCUGCAUGGCUGUCGUCAGCUCGUGCCGUGAGGUGUUGGGUUAAGUCCCGCAACGAGCGCAACCCUUGUCGUGUGUUGGUCAGCAAUGAUCUCUCACACGAGACCGCCGGUGAUAAGCCGGAGGAAGGUGGGGAUGACGUCAAGUCAGCAUGGCCCUUACGUCCCGGGCUACACACGUGCUACAAUGGGCGCGACAACGAGCCGCAAACUCGCGAGAGUAAGCCAAUCUCUUAAACGCGUCCUCAGUUCGGAUUGAAGGCUGCAACUCGCCUUCAUGAAGUCGGAAUCGCUAGUAACCGCAGAUCAGCUACGCUGCGGUGAAUACGUUCCCGGGCCUUGCACACACCGCCCGU